UUAGACCGUCGUGAGACAGGUU
RNAcentral lists this non-coding RNA (22 nucleotides) under Arabidopsis thaliana (thale cress). RNAcentral also lists the same sequence under 1 other name. Lineage: Eukaryota; Viridiplantae; Streptophyta; Magnoliopsida; Brassicales; Brassicaceae. The record is from RNAcentral.